CAGCAGCCGCGGGAAUACGUAGGUGGCAAGCGUUGUCCGGAUUUAUUGGGCGUAAAGCGAGCGCAGGCGGUUCCUUAAGUCUGAUGUGAAAGCCCACGGCUCAACCGUGGAAGGUCAUUGGAAACUGGGGAACUUGAGUGCAGAAGAGGAGAGUGGAAUUCCAUGUGUAGCGGUGAAAUGCGUAGAUAUAUGGAGGAACACCAGUGGCGAAGGCGACUCUCUGGUCUGUAACUGACGCUGAGGCUCGAAAGCGUGGGGAGCAAACAGGAUUAGAUACCCCAGUAGUCCCUGUCUCUUAUAC
Molecule: ribosomal RNA, 301 nt
Filed under: uncultured bacterium
Lineage: Bacteria
Description: partial 16S ribosomal RNA
Rfam family: Bacterial small subunit ribosomal RNA
Source: RNAcentral